GUGGCGACGAUGCGUAGGGGUUCUGAGAGGAAGGUCCCCCACACUGGUACUGAGACACGGACCAGACUCCUACGGGAGGCAGCAGUGAGGAAUAUUGGUCAAUGGGAGAGAUCCUGAACCAGCCAAGCCGCGUGAGGGAAGACGGCCCUAUGGGUUGUAAACCUCUUUUGUCGGAGAACAAAACCCGGGACGAGUCCCGGACUGCGUGUAUCCGAAGAAAAAGCAUCGGCUAACUCCGUGCCAGCAGCCGCGGUAAUACGGAGGAUGCGAGCGUUAUCCGGAUUUAUUGGGUUUAAAGGGUGCGUAGGCGGUCUGUUAAGUCAGCGGUAAAAUUGCGGGGCUCAACCCCGUCGAGCCGUUGAAACUGGCAGACUUGAGUUGGCGAGAAGUACGCGGAAUGCGCGGUGUAGCGGUGAAAUGCAUAGAUAUCGCGCAGAACUCCGAUUGCGAAGGCAGCGUACCGGCGCCAGACUGACGCUGAGGCACGAAAGCGUGGGGAUCGAACAGGAUUAGAUACCCUGGUAGUCCACGCAGUAAACGAUGAAUGCUGGUUGUCCGGGUCGAAUGAGAUCUGG
RNAcentral lists this ribosomal RNA (575 nucleotides) under uncultured bacterium. Its description in RNAcentral is "bacterial SSU rRNA". It matches the Rfam family "Bacterial small subunit ribosomal RNA", at positions 270 to 842 of the family's 1533-position model. The record is from RNAcentral.